Molecule: long non-coding RNA, 1191 nt
Organism: Triticum dicoccoides
Lineage: Eukaryota; Viridiplantae; Streptophyta; Magnoliopsida; Poales; Poaceae
Exons: 6
Source: RefSeq, a predicted model, not a curated record
UCACCGCCGCAUCCCCCCUCUCUCUAUCUCCGAUCCAGAUCGGCCGCCUCUUAUCCCUUCCUUCUACCGCUUCCCUAUCCCUCUUCCCAUCCCCGGCAGUGGCGCCCUCCUUCCCUCAUGCUGCACCCAAACCUCCCUCCCGCUCCUAGCUUUUCUUCCUCCUCCGCCGCCUCUAGGGUUUCUCUCCCUGAUCCCCAAUCCCCUAGCGCUCCACUCCUUCCUUGCCGCCGCCACCUCCGGCGCCGGAUCAUGGCGACCUCAGGCGGGAAUCGAAGACUCCUGUCCGGCGAGAUCCGGCGCACGCUCGAGCCUGAGCGAUGAGGUGGUUCAAAUCGUGCAUGGGGACGCAGCGAGGGACCUAACGGUGGUCACCGUCAGCUUCCCGGACAAGACCGGCCUGGGCUGCGACCUCUGCCGCCUUGUCGUCCUCUUCAGCCUCAACGUCCACAAAGGCGACAUGAGCACCGACGGCCACUAGUGCUACAUCAUGCUCUGGGUCGCCGCCUCGCGCCGGGGCCGGGCCGUGGACUGGGACGCCCUCAAGGAGCGGCUGGUGGAGCUUCGUCCGCACCACGCUAGAGCAGACCCGCCUCCGCACCGCCCUCACGCCCCACCCCUCGCAGGAAAAGUUCAGGCUCAUACGAGCCAACGACGAUGUGACUGUUUUGGAUGCUCUCUCCUUCAGCGCUCUCAAAAUUGGACUGCUUCGCAGCUUGACGGUUGAGAAGAAAAACUAUGUUCAGGAGCCCUCUUUGGUCGACAUGCAUGAGGAGGAGGAAAUUGUCUCCCCACACAAGGAGGAUGCCUGAGCUAACCAGGAGGACACCCUCGUCCACCUCAGCCACCACACAAGGGCGAGGCCGGUGAUGUCCGUGCGGUGAUGUCCCUGGGGUGGCGCCACUGUGCCCGGCGCUUACCCUGGUCGCCGCGGUGGUGCUUCGGCAGCUUCCAGACCCUCUCCUUGAUGUGGUGAUGGUCACACCACAGCCGUGGUGUGGCUGAGCCUCUGCUACGGUUACAACCUUCCUCUGGUUGAAGGCGCUAAGGUGUUGGAGACGUGCGUGUACUUGUUGAGCGUUUUAUCUGUAGAAUGCUAUACUGUGAUUGGUGUAAUAUUGUGCGGUUAUAUUGUGAUUGGUGGAAUGUAAUAAACUUGAUUGGUACAUCGGUGAUUUGGCUGUUAUUUGAAUA